This 1389-nucleotide ribosomal RNA is filed under the name Zachaenus parvulus. RNAcentral's name for it is "partial 16S ribosomal RNA". It matches the Rfam family "Bacterial large subunit ribosomal RNA", at positions 157 to 2558 of the family's 2925-position model. Lineage: Eukaryota; Metazoa; Chordata; Amphibia; Anura; Cycloramphidae. The record is from RNAcentral.
GCCUAAACUCUAGCCCAACUUAUUCUUAUGAAAACAUUUUUUUAUAUACCAUAAUUUAAAACAUUUUAACAAUUUAGUAAAGGCGAUUAAAAAAUUUUAAAGGAGCUAUAGAAGUAGUACCGCAAGGGAAAGAUGAAAUAGUAAUUAAAUUUACAGCAUAUAAUAGUAGAGAUUUUAUCUUGUACCUUUUGCAUCAUGGUUAAACCAGUUAAAUCUAGCAAAAUGACCUUUAGUUUGACCCCCCGAAACUAAACGAGCUACUUCAGGGCAGCUUAUUGAGCUAACCCAUCUCUGUUGCAAAAGAGUGGGAAGACCCUUAAGUAGAGGUGACAGACCUAACGAGUUUAGUGAUAGCUGGUUACUCAAGAAAAGAAUUUUAGUUCAACUUGAAGUUAAAAAAAUAAUUACAAACAUAUUAAAUUAACUUUAAAGCAAUUCAAAUAAGGUACAGCCUAUUUGAAACAGGAUACAACCUGAAUUAACGGGUAAACUACUCUACUUUAUAACUAAGUGGGCCUUAAAGCAGCCACCUUAAGAUAGCGUCAAAGCCCAAUUAUAAAAACACACAAUUCCUACACUCUUAUUUACCCCUUUUAUAGUAUUGAGUAAUUCUAUACCCCUAUAGAACUUUUUAUGUUUAAACUAGUAACAAGAAGAUACUACUUCUCUUUUAAUGUAAGUGUAAAUCAGACAGGACAAACCACUGAUAAUCAACACAUCUAAGAUAAAGCAGCAACUUAAUUCAAGAAAACCCUACUCUUACAUUGUGUUAAUCUAACACAAGAACAUUUAAAGAAAGAUUAAAAGAGAAAGAAGGAACUCGGCAAACAUUAACUCCGCCUGUUUACCAAAAACAUCGCCUCUUGCAAACUAUAAGAGGUCCAGCCUGCCCAGUGACACUGUUCAACGGCCGCGGUAUCCUAACCGUGCGAAGGUAGCGUAAUCACUUGUUCUUUAAAUGAGGACUAGUAUGAAAGGCACCACGAGAGUUAUACUGUCUCCUAUCUCUAAUCAGUGAAACUAAUCUUCCCGUGAAGAAGCGGGGAUUUCUAUAUAAGACGAGAAGACCCUAUGGAGCUUUAAAUAAUAAUAUCAUUUGCUAAUUUACCCGAACCUUUUCAGAAAACUUACUCUCACUCUAGCAUCAUGAUCAUUAAUUUUAGGUUGGGGCGACCACGGAGCACAAAAUAACCUCCACACUGAAAUAGAGCCUAAACUCUAAGCAAAAAGUCACAACUUUCUGCAUCAAAAAAUUGACACCAAUUGACCCAAUAUUUUGACCAAUGAACCAAGUUACCCUAGGGAUAACAGCGCAAUCCACUUCAAGAGCUCCUAUCGACAAGUGGGUUUACGACCUCNAUGUUGGAUCAGGGUAUCCUAGUGGUGCAG